GGACAGUUAGCUCAGUUGGUUAGAGUGCUACGUUGACAUCGUAGAGGUCAUUGGUUCGAAUCCGAUACUGUCCAC
RNAcentral lists this transfer RNA (75 nucleotides) under Bacteroidetes bacterium ADurb.Bin397. Its description in RNAcentral is "tRNA-Val". It matches the Rfam family "tRNA". Rfam says of the family: Transfer RNA (tRNA) molecules are approximately 80 nucleotides in length. The record is from RNAcentral. Lineage: Bacteria; Pseudomonadati; Bacteroidota.